AGUGAACGCUGGCGGUAGGCCUAACACAUGCAAGUCGAACGGCAGCACAGUAAGAGCUUGCUCUUACGGGUGGCGAGUGGCGGACGGGUGAGGAAUACAUCGGAAUCUACUUUUUCGUGGGGGAUAACGUAGGGAAACUUACGCUAAUACCGCAUACGACCUACGGGUGAAAGCAGGGGAUCUUCGGACCUUGCGCGAUUGAAUGAGCCGAUGUCGGAUUAGCUAGUUGGCGGGGUAAAGGCCCACCAAGGCGACGAUCCGUAGCUGGUCUGAGAGGAUGACCAGCCACACUGGAACUGAGACACGGUCCAGACUCCUACGGGAGGCAGCAGUGGGGAAUAUUGGACAAUGGGCGCAAGCCUGAUCCAGCCAUACCACGUGGGUGAAGAAGGCCUUCGGGUUGUAAAGCCCUUUUGUUGGGAAAGAAAAGCAGCAGGUUAAUACCCCGCUGUUCUGACGGUACCCAAAGAAUAAGCACCGGCUAACUUCGUG
Molecule: ribosomal RNA, 492 nt
Filed under: uncultured bacterium
Lineage: Bacteria
Description: partial 16S ribosomal RNA
Rfam family: Bacterial small subunit ribosomal RNA
Source: RNAcentral